Molecule: transfer RNA, 102 nt
Filed under: Archaeoglobus veneficus SNP6
Lineage: Archaea; Methanobacteriati; Methanobacteriota; Archaeoglobi; Archaeoglobales; Archaeoglobaceae
Rfam family: tRNA
About the family: Transfer RNA (tRNA) molecules are approximately 80 nucleotides in length. Their secondary structure includes four short double-helical elements and three loops (D, anti-codon, and T loops).
Source: Rfam by way of RNAcentral
CCCGCCUUAGCUCAGCUGGCAGAGCGCGGGCCUGUAGUUUGCCUUGCUCCCUGCAAGGGGGCAGAGAGCCCGUGGUCCCCGGUUCAAAUCCGGGAGGCGGGA